ACGGGUGAGUAACACGUAUGCAAUCCACCUGUAGCAGGGGGAUAACCCGGAGAAAUCCGGACUAAUACCCCAUAAUAUGGGCGCUCCGCAUGGAGAGCCCAUUAAAGAGAGCAAUUUUGGUUACAGACGAGCAUGCGCUCCAUUAGCCAGUUGGCGGGGUAACGGCCCACCAAAGCGACGAUGGAUAGGGGUUCUGAGAGGAAGGUCCCCCACAUUGGAACUGAGACACGGUCCAA
Molecule: ribosomal RNA, 236 nt
Filed under: uncultured bacterium
Lineage: Bacteria
Description: partial 16S ribosomal RNA
Rfam family: Bacterial small subunit ribosomal RNA
Source: RNAcentral